AUACGUAGGGUGCAAGCGUUAAUCGGAAUUACUGGGCGUAAAGCGUGCGCAGGCGGUUUUGUAAGACAGUGGUGAAAUCCCCGGGCUCAACCUGGGAACUGCCAUUGUGACUGCAAGGCUGGAGUGCGGCAGAGGGGGAUGGAAUUCCGCGUGUAGCAGUGAAAUGCGUAGAUAUGCGGAGGAACUCCGAUGGCGAAGGCAAUCCCCUAGGCCUGCACUGACGCUCAUGCGCGAAAGCGUGGGGAGCAAACAGGAUUAGAUACCCUGGUAGUCCACGCCCUAAACGAUGUCAACUGGUUGUUGGGGAUUUAUUUUCUCAGUAACGAAGCUAACGCGUGAAGUUGACCGCCUGGGGAGUACGGCCGCAAGGUUAAAACUGAAAGGAAUUGACGGGG
This 395-nucleotide ribosomal RNA is filed under the name uncultured bacterium. Its description in RNAcentral is "partial 16S ribosomal RNA". It matches the Rfam family "Bacterial small subunit ribosomal RNA", at positions 523 to 918 of the family's 1533-position model. The record is from RNAcentral.